RNAcentral lists this ribosomal RNA (506 nucleotides) under uncultured bacterium. RNAcentral describes it as "partial 16S ribosomal RNA". It matches the Rfam family "Bacterial small subunit ribosomal RNA", at positions 29 to 523 of the family's 1533-position model. The record is from RNAcentral.
AUUGAACGCUGGCGGCAGGCCUAACACAUGCAAGUCGAACGGCAGCACAGAAGAGCUUGCUCUUUGGGUGGCGAGUGGCGGACGGGUGAGUAAUGUCUGGGAAACUGCCCGAUGGAGGGGGAUCACUACUGGAAACGGUAGCUAAUACCGCAUAACGUCGCAAGACCAAAGUGGGGGACCUUCGGGCCUCACACCAUCGGAUGUGCCCAGAUGGGAUUAGCUAGUAGGUGGGGUAAUGGCUCACCUAGGCGACGAUCCCUAGCUGGUCUGAGAGGAUGACCAGGCACACUGGAACUGAGGCACGGUCCAGACUCCUACGGGAGGCAGGAGUUGGGAAUAUUGCGCAAUGGGCGGAAGCCUGACGCAGCCAUGCCGGGUGUAUGAAGAAGGCCUUCGGGUUGUAAAGUACUUUCAGCGGGGAGGAAGGCGGUGAGGUUAAUAACCUUGCCGAUUGACGUUACCCGCAGAAGAAGCACCGGCUAACUCCGUGCCAGCAGCCGCCGCGG